Molecule: non-coding RNA, 125 nt
Organism: Helianthus annuus (common sunflower)
Lineage: Eukaryota; Viridiplantae; Streptophyta; Magnoliopsida; Asterales; Asteraceae
Source: Rfam
CUCUACGAGCUUCUUGGUUUAGUGGAGGAGGGAGGAUUAGGCAGCGGCCAGACAACCGUAGAGAUGGUUUCCACAGAUGAACAGUUUUUGCUAUCUGUUUGUCUACUAAAUUCUAUCUCACAUCU